This is a long non-coding RNA of Monodelphis domestica (gray short-tailed opossum), 1477 nucleotides long. RefSeq lists it as uncharacterized. The record is from RefSeq and is a predicted model, not a curated record. Lineage: Eukaryota; Metazoa; Chordata; Mammalia; Didelphimorphia; Didelphidae.
CUACGUCACUGGGAAAGUCCCUUUUUUAAGAGCAGCCUGCGCUGUGGCUUAGAGUCGAGCAGAAGAUCCCGGUAAAGGCUUGGAGGUCGGUCACUGCUUAGAUCUCCUACUAGGGAGCUUAACCCGCCCACCCCUCGUGGUCUCCGCUGCAGCUGCCACUGUCUCAGCGCCGCUCGUAGCUCGCCAGCCACCCUCCAGGGCAAGCGUCGGAAACCGGGCUUUGUCCGUGAGCUGCCUCUUUUGGCGUCUAGGUCUGAGGCUCCACCGUCCAACAACCUGACCAAGAUGUCUGGGCCGAAGGCAACCGAACCCCUCCCGAGACUUCCGAGAACCAAUGGUGCCAAUAUUCUGCGACCUGCAGAUCGAGAAGCUAAUCCAGGUAUGGACAUUGAGGACAUCGCACGGAUAAUGCGAAAAAUUGGAGACGACCUGUAUCUUAAAUAUGUUCUUGAAAAUGCAUUGUUUAUAGUGUCUAACAUGAAGUUCCCUUGAAAGAUGGAUGGCUUCGAUAUUCUCUCAACAUGUCUACAUUCUCUCAACAUGUCUACAAUUCCUCAACAGAAAGUGAAGAAACUUCUUUAGAGAAGGUUUAGAGAAGCCUUCUAAGAGCAAGGAUCUACAAGGGGAAAAUGGAGAUUUGUCAUUCUUUUCAACCACAAUUUAGACACCUUAAAAGCCACUUGGGAGUUUUUCCAGCAUUUUUCCACCAAGAUUUCAGUGUUAGAUCCAAGUAAUUGUUACACAUAAUGUGUAAAUUGUCUACCUUGUGAAUCAUGCACCAGAAUUUCUAAUUAUCAGUUUUAAGACCACUGAAUAUGUUGCAUUGUUUUGAUACAUUUCAUGUGUGUAUUUCAACUGUAAUACAGUUGGGGCCUAGGUCUGGGUUUGAGGGUCUUAUUUAUUUAAUUUAAGGUAAAAGUAUUUGAGUGACCCCCAUUUUUGAGUUUUGUUCAUUUUGUGAAGUUAUGUGGAUUUUUCAAAGCUAUGUAAAUCCUGAUGUAAACAGGAUUUAAGUGUUUAAGGCUGCUUUUUAAAUUCUGAGCCUGUUAUCCCAAAAGUUAUCUCUGCUUCAUACUUGUCAAAUGGAUAUGCUUCAUCUGUAAAAUUAGCUGGAGAAAUUUUUUUGGGGGGUUUUGCCAAGAAAACCCCAAAAUAGGGUCACAAUGUCACAAUAGGGUCACAGCAAAAGAGGGCCAAGUGGUUUGGGGGAGCACAGUGCAGGGGUAUGGGGAAAAUAUAUGAGGUCACCUUGAAUAGACCUAUUGCCAGUGCUAACUUUGGACAAAGACAACCCAUGCCCAAGUUAUGUAACUUCCCUUUUAAUUAUACUUUUAAUGCAACUGUUUCAUAACCUGCAGUCUUAUCUGAGGACUAAAAAUUGCCUAUUUCAAUCUUCAAUUUCAAUUUUUUUGUUCUUCCAAAUGAAAUUUGUUAUGGUUUUUUCUAAUUCAUUAAUAAAAGUUUUUUGGUUGUUCAA